CCGGUCCACUCUGAUUUCUGCAUUGGCAGUGAGUCAACCGGUUCAAUAACCGGUUCUGCUGGACAGAACCGGCCGUAGAACCGGUUCAUUACGGGUUUGCUUAUAAAAACUUCGUUUCUCGACCAAAUCAGCCCCCACUCGUUCCCACAAACCCUAAACUGAUUUCUAAACAUUUAUAGACAAUUCCCAAUCACAUUUUGGUGCCUCAAGACACUUGCCAUUAUUCCACUAUUUUUCUGAGUUUUCCUUGCUCUUUUGGAUUGCUAAGACCCGUCGACUGCUCGUGCUUCGGAGUCGGAUCAGGUUUAGUUGCUUGUCAAGUUUUCACGUGGAUUUGCAAGCAGGUUAUGAUCUGAGAGAGUCUGGUGAUCUCCGCAUUUACUUUUCUUCGGAGGUUCCAUUUAUUUUUGAUAAACUGUAAAACUGUUUUAUUCUUAGACCGCAGUAGUAACUAGACGUCUUUAUUAUUACUGUA
Molecule: long non-coding RNA, 475 nt
Organism: Mercurialis annua (annual mercury)
Lineage: Eukaryota; Viridiplantae; Streptophyta; Magnoliopsida; Malpighiales; Euphorbiaceae
Exons: 4
Source: RefSeq, a predicted model, not a curated record